CAAUCUGAAUUCCAAUUUUUUGACAAAGUAAUUCAAUCCGAUUCCAUCCCAUUUCUCCCGACAUUCCUAGCAUAAGCAAAUCAAAAGAUUUUCUAGACUUCACAUAAUUAAACCUCUCCAGUACCUCCGUGAUGAAGUGUAAAUGAAAAGCACUACAUUUUACAUCAAAAUAUUUUGGUUUGGAAUAGAUUGAAUCUAUCCGAAUAGCGAACACUCGAAUUUCAAUUUCUAUAAAAAUUGGCUACAACAUUCAAAGCCACUCAACGCUUGAUGAGUUGUAGAUUAACGGUGAUAAAGACUUUGUUUCGUUCAACUUAUUAUAUGCAUUUUCCUUUUCCUAAAAUUAUCUGAUUUUAUUUUAACCUAAUUGUGUCUAGUGUAUAACAAAGGAAAAAAAAAAAAAAAAAAACUUUUCUGAUUCUAAAUUGUGUGUAAGGAUUCUCUAUUAUCUAAUGUUAAUCGUUAGUUUGAUUAUCAGUAUAGUCAAUUUAGGGUUCUUCUAAGCUGGAUUAUUCAACUAUUGGUUACAAUUACUCUUAACAACUUAUGAAGGAUUAUAACAAUCGAUUUCGUUGCUAGAAUAUUGCUUUUCAUAUUCUUAAACUAGAAUUUAAUUCGAACCUAAUUUGAUGAUUGAAUCAAAUUUGAUUGCUUAUGUGUUGGAAGCUUUUGUUUAUAUCAUAUAAUCCUUUAAUGUUAGGACAGAACUGUGUGUAAUCUAUUGUCGUCGUAUAUUUCUUAUUGAGAUUCUGGAUUUGUUAGUGACAGGUUUGAAGUCAUAAUUCUUUUUUUCCUCCAACAUUGUUAGUGCUGAAAAUCUAAGUAAUUGAAAGAACAAAAAUCAAAUGUCUUUCACUAAGCUCGGAAAAUCCUUACCCUUUAUUUGGAUUUUGAGGAAGCUGGAGCAAGAUGUGGAAACUGUAAUAAGGGUACUGCAGCCUGGGCCAGUAGGAAUUGUGGAGCAUAAAUUUACAGAUAAAGAAAUACAUGAUGCAAAUGCUAUGUUUAAAAAUGCAGUGAAGAAUUGGCAAAGGAGAGCAUUAUUGGAGAAAAGUGGUGUUGUGAAAGAUUACGUGGAGUUUUGAUAGGAAUCUAUACAUAGUUUAAAGUCUUGGAAUGUGUUUAAAUUGUCAAUUCUGAAAAAGUCUGUAGUAUCUUGUUAGGGUUUUACAUGAAGGAUCGUCAUUUAUUGAUAUUAAGAUCUUGCAAUGAGAUUUGCUGAUCCUUGACAGCGUGUAAUUCUGAAUUGAAAUAAAUUGAACUACCCCAUUCUGGCGUUACUGAGAUGAGCAUUUUAUUCGUACUAUAUAUAAGUUCUUCAGUUUUGAGCGGAGAAAACAAUUAGGAACAUGCAAACUGAUGUCAACAUAUUGGUGCCAAGAUGGCUGGCUGAUCAAGUUUUACAGCUGCUGUGGGCUUGUAGCAUUUUAUGUUAGUAAGAAGUCAAUAUGUUCCCAGUGAUGCCUGGAGUUCAGCAGAUCUGAUAUCCUUCAUCGAUAAGGGUCAAUAUAUACUGGUAUGUUUAAGUUUCAAGUUAGCGGGAAUGCAAUCUGCUAAUCGAUACAGUAGUCAUGUCAUGUGACCAAUAAUUUUGGGAUGGAGUACAACUAUUUUGUGGAUGUUAUCUUUAUUUCAGACAUCUUACAAUAGUAUUUGUGACUAUUCAUACGAAAGAGAGACUAAUUAGAGCAUAUAAGCUGGCGAUAUGCAUUGUCAUUUAUUCUUUCCUGACAUCUGUAACAAGUACAAUUAUAGUACUAGACAGAUGGUUACCAGUUACUUUUUUGAAGGAUAAGGCUGUGGGGAGGGGGAGAUAUUAAGUAAUAAACAUAUGCUUAUUGUAUUGCUAAAUGGUAAUAGAUUCACUAUUUAAUGCUGUUAUAAGUAGGUAACUAUAGUUUGAUAUUUAAAAUUAAAGUAGUUAUGCUGCUUUUUCCCUGCCAUUUACCUGGGUAGGUCUGAUUGCUGUGUCAUACAUGCUAAUGUUAGUUAACUUCUGAACAAGUGAUCCUUUUCCAUAGAAAUUAGAAUCUACCGCUUAAUGUGCAAUUGGUAGAAUUUUCAUAUUUGCUGAUUUGUACUUCAGGUCUGGUUGUUUCAUAUUUUAAUUUAUUUUGAUUUAUUAAACUAUUUUCGACGAAAUAAGUUCAGAUAUGUCAAUAUAACCCCAUAGACAAAAUAAGUUCAAACAAGUUAAUGUAAGGUCUAAUAAUUUUAGAUAAGUUUAAAUAAACUCAAAUAAGUUCAAUAAGAUGAAAAGCUCAAUUAAGGGAAAAUAAGCUAAGAGAAGUUUAAACAAAACAAGCUUAGAUAAAUUUCAGAUAAAAUGUCUCACAAAUUAGACA
Long non-coding RNA from Chenopodium quinoa (quinoa), 2345 nucleotides. RefSeq lists it as uncharacterized. The transcript has 3 exons. The record is from RefSeq and is a predicted model, not a curated record. Lineage: Eukaryota; Viridiplantae; Streptophyta; Magnoliopsida; Caryophyllales; Amaranthaceae.